CCUAUAUAGAUAUCUAUAUAUAUAUAUAUAUAUAUUGUGUACGCAUCGCAAUUUUGUUAUUGACCUAUUCUUUAUAACACAGUCGCAAAUUAUGGCGCCCUAUUUUUAUUAGUAAUUAACGAUCUUAGUAUAUGUUGUAAUAUUAUGAUUUUUGGAGAGAGUGGAAUUCGAUCCGAUCGAGCUAGAAAUAGUGGGAAUGGAAUUUAACGAUGAUAUAUGGUAAAAUGUCUCACAUGAAUCAAUACUAAAAUAUGAUAUAUAUACGAAGCAGACAUUGUUUUCUUAUUUCAGUUUCCUUGGUAAAGGUCAGCCAUGUAAUCAUAGCAAAUUGAAAUAAGAAUCAAGCUAUCAUGAGUGGGGUGGCGUACGUGUGACUUUUAAAAGUAAUGGAGCAUGCGAUAAUUUAAUUACAAAUAGAAAAUAAAACAUAUCUCUAUACGUAGGGAUAUAUAGGUGUGUGGGACUUAGGAAUAUGAACUAAGAGACAACACUUUAUUCAAAUUAAAAUUAUAUACUCCCUCCGUCCCAUUUUUUAUGGGACAAAACUUUUCGGCACGAAGAUUAAAAAAAGUAGAAUUAAGAGAAUUAGAUGUUUAAUGUUAUUUCAAUUCACACACACGCACUCACACACUCACAUACACUCUCUCUCGGCCUCCCCUGUCCUCCAGUUCCGCCGCCGCCUCCUUCGUCCUCCAGUUCCGCCGGGCUCGCAGUGAAGAGACGCCACCGCCGCCGCCUCCGUCGUCGGCCAACUCGAUUCACCAGCAAAUAGAAAUCGAAACCAAAAUCAACCGUCUCCUCUCAAAUCCACAAAUCCACAAGUCAAAAAAAUCAAAUACCAAAAUCCUCAAACCAAAAAAAUCCCCAAAUCGACAAAAAUCAAGAGAUGGCAAUACCUCGCGCCGCUGCGACCUCGUCGAAGAAGGCAAAAAUCAAGAACAAAAAGUUUGUUCAUCACCAAUUUGUUAACUCGAUUCACCAGCAAAAAGCGAAACAAAAAUCAAAACAAAACUGAACCCAAAUUUUAAAGACAAAGGAGAUCUGCCGAAAUCCACAAACGAAAUCUGAAAAAAAAUCAAAUCUGAAAUAUCCCAAACAAAUUCCAUUAGGUGAUUAAUUACAAACAAAUUCCAAGCAAGAUUGCUCACGAACAAAUCGACGGCCUCCUCUCGAAUCCACAUAUCCACAAACCAAACAAAUAAAGGGAGGAGGCUUCUUCUCCGCGAGGCCGACGAUGUCACAGCGAAGGCGGCGACGCGGGUGGAGCAGCCGUGGGAAAACGUAGGUAAGAAGGCGGCAACGCGGGUGCGACCGGGUGGUGGGGGGCGAGGGCGGUGAGUGGCGGUGGAUGCAACAGAUCGACCGGCGGUGGUGGCCGAGAAUUUUGAAGGGAGAAGAGAGGCGGCUGGUAGGGGUGUGAGAGAGAGAGAGAGGAAGUAGGAGAUGAAUUUUAAUUAGGGUUAGGAGAAUUUUUUU
Molecule: long non-coding RNA, 1476 nt
Filed under: Salvia miltiorrhiza (redroot sage)
Lineage: Eukaryota; Viridiplantae; Streptophyta; Magnoliopsida; Lamiales; Lamiaceae
Description: long non-coding RNA (SMIL_LNC000116)
Source: RNAcentral